AUCCAUCUGACGAGUCCCAAAUAGGAUAGACGAAAUGCGCAUCCUGGAU
RNAcentral lists this non-coding RNA (49 nucleotides) under Trichobilharzia regenti. Lineage: Eukaryota; Metazoa; Platyhelminthes; Trematoda; Strigeidida; Schistosomatidae. The record is from RNAcentral.